UCCUCACAUAAACACUGCCAAUCAUAACAAUCACUCACCACCAUCAAUUCCACCACGAAGAACAAAACCACCACCACCUUACUACAUCCACUCUCAUCUCGUUUUAUCACUCACCUUCCGAACGAAAAACACCACGACGACGAGCAACACGAUGGUGAGCAACACGACAGCGACGAGCAACUCAACCACCAUCUUCUUGAAGUUGCGAUAUCUGUUCUUCAGAAGUUUGUAAGAUGGAACAUUUCAUAGAGCAAGAUGAGCCAUCUAACCAUCUAACCAUGGAUUAUCAACGUCAAAGUAGCAUGGAUCAUCAAUGCAAAGUAGCAUG
This is a long non-coding RNA of Vicia villosa (hairy vetch), 328 nucleotides long. RefSeq lists it as uncharacterized. Lineage: Eukaryota; Viridiplantae; Streptophyta; Magnoliopsida; Fabales; Fabaceae. The record is from RefSeq and is a predicted model, not a curated record. The transcript has 3 exons.